UGGCUCGCACCUGUCUAACUAAACUUGAGCUACCAAUUUUAACACGGUUGCAUCGGUUGGCUGUCAAACAGUGCGGAAACGCGCUGGGCGGCGGUCGACACAACAAUUCAACACUUUUGAUUAUCUAGGAUUUGAAUGAAAGUUCAUUUUUAUGAUGAAACGACUGGUAAUGCGGUCGUCUAAAUCUAAAAAACAACUUUUGGCAACGGAUCUCUUGGUUCUCCCAUCGAUGAAGAACGCAGCGAAUUGCGAUAAGUAAUGUGAAUUGCAGAAGUGAAUCAUCGAAUCUUUGAACGCACCUUGCGCUCCCGGCAGAUCUAAUCUGGGGAGCAUGCCUGUUUGAGGGCCGCGAAUUGUUUCGAACGACAGCUUUCUUCUUGUAAGAAAGAUGGCGGAUCGGUAUUGAGGGUUUUUUUGCCAUUUACCAUGGCUCCCUCGAAAUGCAUUAGCGCAUCCAUUUAAUAGGCAAGACGGACGAAAGCUCGAUUUUCGCCCUUCUUUUCCCUGCCGGGUUUUGAUAAUAUCAGGACUUCGGAGGUGAAGAGAUGGGUUAGAGCUGGACGCAACGUUUUGCUGGUUGGAGUGCUUCUGAACCCCGCCCAUGCCCUUGCAAAAGGGAAGGGAUUUAUUUCAAAUAUCAAUAAGCGGAGGAAAAGAAACUAACAAGGAUUCCCCUAGUAACGGCGAGUGAAGAGGGAAGAGCCCAAGAUUGAAAGCUGGCGUCUUCGGCGUCCGCAUUGUAAUCUCAAGAAGUGUUUUCCGCUUCGGACCAUGCCUAAGUCCCUUGGAAAAGGGCAUCAUAGAGGGUGAUAAUCCCGUACAUGGCAUGGAGCGCCCGAAGCUUUGUGAUACGCUUUCUAAGAGUCGAGUUGUUUGGGAAUGCAGCUCAAAAUGGGUGGUAAAUGCCAUCUAAGGCUAAAUAUUGGGGAGAGACCGAUAGCGAACAAGUACAGUGAUGGAAAGAUGAAAAGAACUUUGAAAAGAGAGUUAAACAGUACGUGAAAUUGCCAAAAGGGAAGGGUAGGAGGUCAGAGAUGCGGCUUAGGAUUCAGCCUUGCUUUUGCUUGGUGUUUUUCCUAAAUUGCAGGCCAACGUCGGUUUUGGGCGCUGGAGAAGGGUGGAAGGAACGUGGCACUCUUCGGGGUGUGUUAUAGCCUUCUACUGGAUACAGUGACCGAGACCGAGGACAGCAGCGUACUCGCAAGAGCGGGCCUUCGGGCACCUUUACGCUU
Molecule: ribosomal RNA, 1232 nt
Filed under: Ustilago chloridis
Lineage: Eukaryota; Fungi; Basidiomycota; Ustilaginomycetes; Ustilaginales; Ustilaginaceae
Description: eukaryotic LSU rRNA
Rfam family: Eukaryotic large subunit ribosomal RNA (bases 603-1232)
Source: RNAcentral